This 429-nucleotide ribosomal RNA is filed under the name Chloroflexota bacterium. RNAcentral's name for it is "Chloroflexi bacterium partial 16S ribosomal RNA". It matches the Rfam family "Bacterial small subunit ribosomal RNA", at positions 355 to 776 of the family's 1533-position model. Lineage: Bacteria; Bacillati; Chloroflexota. The record is from RNAcentral.
UGGGGAAUAUUGCACAAUGGGCGCAAGCCUGAUGCAGCCAUGCCGCGUGUGUGAAGAAGGCCUUCGGGUUGUAAAGCACUUUCAGCGGGGAGGAAGGCGUUAAGGUUAAUAACCUUGGCGAUUGACGUUACCCGCAGAAGAAGCACCGGCUAACUCCGUGCCAGCAGCCGCGGUAAUACGGAGGGUGCAAGCGUUAAUCGGAAUUACUGGGCGUAAAGCGCACGCAGGCGGUCUGUCAAGUCGGAUGUGAAAUCCCCGGGCUCAACCUGGGAACUGCAUUCGAAACUGGCAGGCUAGAGUCUUGUAGAGGGGGGUAGAAUUCCAGGUGUAGCGGUGAAAUGCGUAGAGAUCUGGAGGAAUACCGGUGGCGAAGGCGGCCCCCUGGACAAAGCCUGACGCUCAGGUGCGAAAGCGUGGGGAGCAAACAGG